UCAGGAUGAACGCUGGCGGCGUGCUUAACACAUGCAAGUCGAACGAUGACUUCUGUGCUUGCACAGAAUGAUUAGUGGCGAACGGGUGAGUAACACGUGAGUAACCUGCCCUUAACUUCGGGAUAAGCCUGGGAAACCGGGUCUAAUACCGGAUACGACCUCCUGGCGCAUGCCAUGGUGGUGGAAAGCUUUAGCGGUUUUGGAUGGACUCGCGGCCUAUCAGCUUGUUGGUUGGGGUAAUGGCCCACCAAGGCGACGACGGGUAGCCGGCCUGAGAGGGUGACCGGCCACACUGGGACUGAGACACGGCCCAGACUCCUACGGGAGGCAGCAGUGGGGAAUAUUGCACAAUGGGCGAAAGCCUGAUGCAGCGACGCCGCGUGAGGGAUGACGGCCUUCGGGUUGUAAACCUCUUUCAGCAGGGAAGAAGCGAAAG
This 436-nucleotide ribosomal RNA is filed under the name Arthrobacter koreensis. RNAcentral's name for it is "bacterial SSU rRNA". It matches the Rfam family "Bacterial small subunit ribosomal RNA", at positions 24 to 456 of the family's 1533-position model. The record is from RNAcentral. Lineage: Bacteria; Bacillati; Actinomycetota; Actinomycetes; Micrococcales; Micrococcaceae.